RNAcentral lists this ribosomal RNA (484 nucleotides) under uncultured bacterium. RNAcentral's name for it is "partial 16S ribosomal RNA". It matches the Rfam family "Bacterial small subunit ribosomal RNA", at positions 28 to 523 of the family's 1533-position model. The record is from RNAcentral.
GAUGAACGCUGGCGGCGUGCUCUACACAUGCAAGUCGAACGGUGAAGCAGGAGCUUGCUCUUGUGGAUCAGUGGCGAACGGGUGAGUAACACGUUAACAACCUGCCCCUGACUCUGGGAUAAGCGCUGGAAACGGCGUCUAAUACUGGAUAUGUGAUGUGACCGCAUGGUCUGCAUCUGGAAAGAAUUUCGGUUGGGGGUGGGCGCGCGGCCUAUCAGCUUGUUGGUGGGGUAAUGGCUCACCAAGGCGUCGACGGGUAGCCGGCCUGAGAGGGUGACCGGCCACACUGGGACUGAGACACGGCCCAGACUCCUACGGGAGGCAGCAGUGGGGAAUAUUGCACAAUGGGCGGAAGCCUGAUGCAGCAACGCCGCGUGAGGGAUGACGGCCUUCGGGUUGUAAACCUCUUUUAGCAGGGAAGAAGCGAAAGUGACGGUACCUGCAGAAAAAGCACCGGCUAACUACGUGCCAGCCGCCGCAGUAA